This 499-nucleotide ribosomal RNA is filed under the name uncultured bacterium. RNAcentral describes it as "partial 16S ribosomal RNA". It matches the Rfam family "Bacterial small subunit ribosomal RNA", at positions 899 to 1397 of the family's 1533-position model. The record is from RNAcentral.
ACUCAAAUGAAUUGACGGGGGCCCGCACAAGCGGUGGAGCAUGUGGUUUAAUUCGAUGCAACGCGAAGAACCUUACCUACCCUUGACAUCCGAGGAAUCCUGCAGAGAUGCGGGAGUGCCGAAAGGAACCUCGAGACAGGUGCUGCAUGGCUGUCGUCAGCUCGUGUUGUGAGAUGUUGGGUUAAGUCCCGUAACGAGCGCAACCCUUAUCCUUAGUUGCCAACAUGUAAUGGUGGGGACUCUAAGGAGACUGCCGGUGGUGAACCGGAGGAAGGUGGGGACGACGUCAAGUCAUCAUGGCCUUUAUGGGUAGGGCUACACACGUGCUACAAUGGGGUGAACAGAGGGUUGCCAACCUGCAAAGGGGAGCCAAUCCCGUAAAACACCUCGUAGUCCAGAUCGAAGUCUGCAACUCGACUUCGUGAAGUUGGAAUCGCUAGUAAUCGCGAAUCAGCACGUCGCGGUGAAUACGUUCCCGGGCCUUGUACACACCGCCCGU